UUUGCCUCAGCCAAUCUUCAAAGCCUUUGGUGAUGUGUGCAGCACCUCUUGGGAAAUGUACACAGCAGAUUUUGUCCCAGGUUUUGGGCAGCGACCAGCAGGGGAUGCAAACCGGGUGCCCAACUCUCUCGCAGGCACCACGGGAUCCGGGAACCAAACCUCCUCUAGCCAGUGCAGGUGGGGUGAGAAGCCGGCCCUCCCCCUCCUUGCUUUCAGGACCCUGGCCGCUGCUUCCUGGUCUGCCUCACUGUCUGUUCCUGGUGGAAAGGCUGUUUGUUCCCUGGGCUGGACGAGGUAAGGAAUCCUCCUCUGGGAUCACCGCAAAUGUCCUGCAUCCUGGAGACGCAACAGGAAACACAGCCCUCAGCACGUUUCAGUCCCCAGGUGUCACCCAAAUGCCACAUCCUGGGAUGAGGAACAAAAGCUGAAUUUACUUUGAUUUGAGAGGCCCCAGUCCAGCUGCCCCUGGAGACCUUCCCCAUUUGAGAGGAUGUGUGAAGGGAGCUGGGCUUCCUGCCCAUGCUGAGUAUCACAGUCUCAGUGACUUCAUCCCUGGAAUCCUCCAGGCCCGGGACAGAGUCCCUGGCAGCAGGGAAAGGGCUCUCUGCACUCUCACGCCCACUGCCCUGACCAGACAGCACUGCCCUGCUGUCCACACUCCAGCCUCUUCUCUGUCUUCUGCCCUGCCGGGCACCAGGUUCCCACCCCGUUCUCCCACCCGCAGCUUGGUGCAAACCCUGACCCGUCCCCUCUCUGUAUGUAGCCAGAUCCUGCCUGUUAUCGAGUCCCUGGCUGCCUCACUUGCAGACUAAGGUUAUUUCCACAAGUUACAUGACCUCAAACUCAUGUUUAUCCUCUUAUGGGCUCUGGAACUGCCAUGAAGAUCCAAUGUCUCUGAAGGCCCCCAAAGUUAUACCAAAAGCAGAAACCUCACUUGGCAUAGUGAGUCUGAUGUAAUCCUCUCCCAUAGGACCCAACAUAACUGCAGGAUGGCGGGAAGGGAGCCCUGCCUGGGCUGCUCAGUUCGGUCAACUGAUCAAUUAAUUGGAGGUGGUGGCAGUAUGCCCACGGUGACUGCAUCAGGGGUUGGAGGACGAUAGGAAUGGUGGAAGGUGAGGAGGGGACAGGAAAUGGGUGUUAUCAUGGAGAAUGAAACAGGCCCUAAAGUGGGGAGGGCAGAGGGAAGUCCAUGUGAUGCACAGAAAGUUACGCAGACGGUGGCCAACUCUCAGAGACACAGAGAUGGCCCAGGCGACCCUUCCUGGUCACAGUUAUGGAAUGUGGUGACUGGAAAAGUGUUGGAGAUGGGGACCAAGAGGCUCCUGGGGCUGGGCUCCAUCAUCCCAGGAGUAACAGGAACCUGGUUCCCACCUGCACUCUAACUUCCUCCUUUCUUUCCCAAGGCCACCCUGUUGCGCUUCCUGCCGGAGGACAUGCAGCCGGGAAUGUGGCAAAUUGCAAGGAAUCUGAGAGUGGAGGCAGCGGCAUGCCUGUCAUUCAGUUCCUGUCUCAUCUUCCUUUCACCCUCCCUUUCCUUUCCAUCCCCCUUUUCUUUGUCAGGAGCUUCUCUUUGGAGCCCCGUGCCAUUCCCUCUUGCGUCUUUUAGGACCGUCCUCCUGAAGGACCUGGUCCCACCCAGGCAGCUGAGGUCCUGGGUCUGCACUGUGGAUGAAGCCCCAGCCCUCCUUUCACUGCCUUGGCCCUGUCCUGGGUGCUGACCCCAGGCUGCAGCACUGACUCCUGCUGAGCAGCCCCAAGGGCUCCAGGCAGGGAGCUGGGCUGGGGGAGGAAGGAAAGUCUGGGUCUGUCCUGGACACCCCCUCACAGGGCGUUUUCUGCCCUGGGGGCUCUGGACAUGCGCAGUUCUUCUCUUCCAGAAGUCAGGACAGUGUUCCAUUCUCCCUGCAGGAGAGGACACAGAGGACACAAAGGUGGAAGAAAAGAGAGGGAGUGAGCGUGGAGGGGCCGCACGAAGAGGGGCCGGCAGGACGUGCACACGGCCCAAUGCUCCUCGCACUUUCUUACUGCCCUGACCACUAAAUCAGUGCAGUCCAUCCCAGAAAACACUGGAGCAGCUUCUCUUAAGGGGAACUCAACAGCCGCAGAGGAGAGAAUCCUUUUCAACAAUCCACACACCAGAUUCCCAAAGGCUACCCAGUUGAACGUCUACAUUAAUUCGCUUCCGCAAGACAUUUAGGGAGACAGACUCAUAGGACAGAGCCUCACAAGGAAUUCGCUUCCCUGUAACUGACAAACGCUAAAGAGCAGUGAAGGUGGAAACAAUGCCAGUCUCCUACAUGCUCUUCCAGAGAUGAGAUGUGGGGACUCAUCCAGCUACCUCAUCAGAUCAGGAGACACUAGACCCCACCCUAGCAACAGACACUUCAGGGAAGGGGAACGUCAGGCCAAAGGCUCUGGAGAGGAUGUGUCCGAAUGUGACGGCAAUCUUCAGCAGUCUCGAUUCUGAGAUGCUUGGAAGGAAAGCUCAUGGCUUGUGGCUACAACAAGAAGAGAUCACGAAAGAUUCAAAUUUAGAAUACACCAGAAAGGUGAUCCGGGCUCAACAGAACCUCCUGGCCAUUCCCAGAGCAUCCCAUUCGGCAUCUGGCAACAGCAUGGAGCCUCGGACGUCACCCCUGCCAGCUCCUCCACUAAGGGCGUCAUGGACCUGAAGCCAUCAGGAGAUUGGGGUCUUUAUUGCGGUUUGCGCAGCAGGGCCUGAGUCUUGGUGAGGAAGGACAGGAGCAGGGAGGCACCCACUCAGAGCUGGGGCAGCCACUGUUUCUUCUCAGCCAGGCCUCAGUCCAGUCUGCUGGGGCAGCUGCUCUGAUCAACAGGCACUGAGAUCCUGGCAUCUUGCAGGCUUCAGUCCUCGAGCUGCCCAAGCACCAGCCCAGCAGGCCACGUUUUCAAAGAAUCUGAACUGCCCAGGAGCCCGGUUUGGUCAGUUGAAUGCAAAUGUGUUUCAAAGUCCAACUGUCACGUUGGCAGUUGGUGGCAGACGUCCCGCAUUCCGAGUUGGUUGGGAGUUGAGAAGGCUACUGGUCAUUCAGGGCAGUCACCCUACCCCACGGGAGUGUCUUCACAGGGCAGCCACAGAGUCACCGUGGGGGCAGACAGACACAAAUGUGGACCCCAUGCCUUCAGGAGGGCUUCAUUUGGGGAACGUCAUGGCAUUUUGGGUCAGGGAUUGAAAUGUAAACCCGGGAGUUGAGUCGGGAUUUGGGCCCUUCUCUUGGGCCAAGCGCCUCCUCCAGGCAUCAGUGUCUCCCUGCAGCAGCUGUGGGGUUGGGGCUUUGGACGAGGAGUGAGGAGGGUCCUUGGUUCAGUAUCCAGGGCGGGAUCUAAUGGUCUUGAUGCAGGUGAGCUCAAGAAUUGGCUCUGCUCAGGAGACAAGAGGGAGCCAACAGUGAAUGAAGGCAUGUCUUGGUGAACAAGUGUCGCCCAAAAUGGCUGCUCCACAGAGAACAGGGCUGUCCAGAGGCGUGAAGCACCAGUGGAGGGAUGGCUGGCUGAAUUUAUACCAACUCCUAAUUAUAUGCUAAUUAGGGGGCGGGCUAUUCUGGUAAAGGGGCACCAGUUCCUGGAACCACAUAAGGUAACUUUCAGGUCGUUGCCAUAGCAUUUGUAAACUGUCAUGGCCCUGGUGGAAGUGACUCAAGCGAAUGGAUUAGAAUUCCUUGUCCUAGCUGGUUUGGGCCAGUUUCUUUGCUGCAUCUUGUUUUGAUCAGCAGGGCCAUGACAGGUGCUUGGAAAGUGAGUCCUGCUCGUCUCCUGCCUCAGUCUCAGGUGUUCGGGCAUCUCCAUCUCUUGGGAACCAAUCAAUUCCCUGCCUGAGCGUCAUUACCCGUCAGUGUUGCUACUCCGAGCAAGUCACUGGAUCUCUGUACCUUUCAGUGCCCUGAAUCAUAAAGUAAAGGUCACAGCCCCUGCUCUGUCCAUGCAGGAGCUGUAAAGUGUCGUGCCCGUGCCCAUGUGGAACAGUAGGGCUCUGUCCUGUGUGACACUCCCAGGCACACGUGGCUUUGGUCUCAGGUCAUCGGGUUCCGGCACCCAUGCCCUGGUCACUGUGUUGUGCUAAGUUCCUACACGGUCUCAUCUAAAGAAAGCGACGGGUCACACACAAUCUGUGGGUGUUUUCUGCACGGCACACUCCAGGAUCCCUCCUCGUAACCCCACUUUCAUUCAGGUGGCCCCGCUGCACAGUUAGUGAUAAGGAGAUCGUGGGUUCCAGUGAAGAGUGUACAUGGGGAUGGAUCCUUGGGGAAGAAAGCGUAGCCCCUGGCGCCACAGCUGCAUCGAAUCAGGCUCUGGCGGAAGAACCAGGUUAAGCCUCAAAUAUCAUCCCGUACAACCCCCUCCACCGAAGUCCCUGGGGGAUUUAAUCAUCGAGUUCAUUCACCAGCUAUUGUUGUAGUUUAUUUAGUGCAACAUGUUUAGAAACAAAAUACUUAUAUUCUUCUGUACUGAAAUAUAAUUCGCAUUCCAUAAAUGCACCUUUUCAAAGGAUACAAUUCGGUGGUUUUUAGCAUAUUCUGGUUUUGCCUUCAUACUUUCCCACUCCAAAAAGAAAACCCUUGCCACGUCAGCCAACCCUGUUCUCUCCACAGGCCCUGCCCUGCCAACCCCUCAUCUGCUUUUGGUCUACGGAUUUUUUUAUUCUGGAUAUUUCAUACACAUGGAAUCAUACAAUGGGCUGGCUUUUGUGACCUGACUUCUUUCUGUAGGCAGAAUGCACUCAAGUUCGCCCGUGCUGUGGCCUGUAUCCGGACCUCGCCUGUUUUCGGUCAAUAUCAUCCAUUGUGUGGACAACACUGAUUUCGUUUUUCUAUUUAUCAGUGAUGGACAAAGGGGCUAUAUUCAUUUUUUGACUGCUAUGCGAAAAACCACUGAAUUGUAUCCUUUGAAAAGGUGCAUUUAUGGAAUGCGAAUUCUAUUUCAGUACUACUAUAAACACCUGUGUUCAAGUUUUUGUAUGAACAAAUGUUUUGUAUUUCUCAUGAGUAUAAGACCAGCAGUGGAGUUGCCAGGUCAUGCGGUAGCCCUGUGAGUAAGUGUUUGAGGAAACACCAUAGGCUUUUCCUUCUCUUAUUUGCGCAAGCAACAUGGGAAGGUCCCAUUUCUCUCAUUGCCAACACUUGUAUUUGCUUUUUCAAUUAUAGCCACACUAAUGGAUGUGAAGUGCUACCUCAGUGGUUUUGAUGGGCAUUUCCCUAUUAACCAAUAAUUUUAAACAUGUUUUCAUGUAUUUAUUGCCAAUUUGUGCAUCUUCUUUAGAGCAGUAUCUAUACAAAUCCAAUUUUCACUUUGAAAAUUUGUUAGACAUUUUAUUGUUGAUUUGCUAGUGGAUAACAGACCUUAUCAGAUACAUGAAUUGCAGAUAAUUUAUUCAGCUCUGUGUGGUGUUUUAUGCCUUUCAUGAUGGUGUCCUUUGAAACACAAAAGAUUUUAAGUUUGGCGGGUCCUGUUUAUUUUUCCUUUGGUUGCUUGUACUUUUGGUGACACAUCUAAGAAUUCAUCACCAAAUUCAAGAAAAUUAAACUGUAUACCUUUUUUUCUGAGAUUCAUGUAGUUCAGCUCUUUUACGUUCUUUUGUUUUAUGUUUUAUCAAAGCCUUUGAUCUAUUUUUAAUUAUCAUUAUUUUAUUAUUAUGUCCAUUUGCUAUUAUUAUUAUUUUGAAACAGAGUUUCGCCAUGUCACCCAGGCUGGAGUGCAAUGGUGCAAUCCCGGCUCACUGAAACCUCUGCCUUCCAGGUUCAGGCAAUUCUCCUGCCUCAGCCUCCUGAGUAGCUGGGAUCACAGGCAUGUGCCAAUAUGCCUGGCUAAUUUUUGUAGUUUUAGUAGAGAUGGGGUUUCACCAUGUUGGCCAGGCUGGUCUCAGACUCCUGACCUCAAGUUGAUCUACCCACCUCGGCUUCUCAAAGUGCUGGGAUUAUAGUCAUGAGCAACCACGCCUGGCCUUUUAAAUUAACUUUUGUGUAUGAUGUGAGUUAGAGGUUCAACUUCAUUCUUUGUGGAUGCUGAUUGUCCUGGCACCAUUUGUUGAAAAGAAUCUUGUCUUUGGCCUUGCCAUCCUUUUUAAAAAUGACAUAAAUGUGAGGGUUUACUUCCAGACUCUCAAUUCUGUUCCACUGAUGUAUACAUCCAUUCUUUCACCAGUACUGCACAGGUUGAUUAUAGUCUGAGUCCUUGUUCUUGUUUAAGAUUAUUUUCUCUAUAUUAGAUUCUAUUCCUUUAUGAGUUUUAGGGUCACCUUGUCAGUUUCAAGGCAGCUGAAAUCCUUAUAGGAAUUUGCUGAAUCUGUCAAUGAAUUAGGAGAGCACAACAUCUUAAUAGCAUUAGGUGUAAAUAUUCUGGUCUAUGAACAUAUGUCUUUCCAUUUUUUAGAUCUUUUACAAUUUCUUUCAAUGAUGUUUUUUAGUUCUCAAUGUACAAGUUUUAUACUUCUUUUGAUGUAUUCAUUUCUAUAUAUUUAUUUGUUUAUUUAUUUAUUUAUUUGAGAUGGAGUCUUGCUCUGUUGCCCAGGCUAAAGUGCUGUGGCAUGAACUUCUGCCUCCCAGGUUCACGCGAUUUUCCUGCCUCAGUCUCCCAAGUAGCUGGCCAGGCUGGUCUCAAACUCCUGACCUCAAGUGAACCGCCCACCUCAGCCUCCCAAAGUGCUGGAAUUAGUGCCUAGCCUCUAAGUAUUUAUUUCUGAUGCUAUUGCAAAAGGAAUUGUUUUCUUAAUUCCAAGUUCAGAUUGUUUAUGCAAGCUCAUAGAAAUACAGUUGAUUUGUUUAUCAAGCCUCGAAGCUUUGUAAAGGUUUAUUAUUAUUGUUUUUUAAUAUAGGAAUAUGCUCAAAAAAACUUGAACUCUUCUCUUAUGUACCGGUGGAAGAAUAAACUCACGUCAACUUUCUGGAAAGCAAGUUGGCAAGUUAUCAAGAUCCUUGGUCAGGCACAGCAGCUCAUGCCUGUAAUCCCAGCACUUUGGGAGGCUGAGGCAGGCGGAUCAUGAGGUCAGGAGUUUGAGACCAGCCUGACCAACAUGGUGAAACCCUGUGUGGUGGCACAUGCCUGUAAUCUCAGCUACUCAGGAGGCUGAAACAGGAGAAUCGCUUGAACCCAGGAGGCGGAGGUUGCAGUGAACCAAGAUCAUGCCACUGCACUCCAGCCUGAGCGACAGAGUGAGGCUCCAUCACAAAAAAAAAAAAAAAAAUCUUAAAAUGCAUCGUAUCCUUUGACACAGUAAUUCUAGCCCAAGAAUUUUUAUUUUAUUGUAAGUUGACAAUUUAUAAUUGUAUAUAUUUAUGAGGUACAAAGUGAUACUGUGAUUUACAAAUACAACGUGGGAUAAUGAAAUCAAGCUAAUUGAUAAAUCUACAACCUCAAAUGCUUACCAUUUUUGUGGCGAGAACAAUUAUCACCUAUUGAUUUUGUGUCCUGUAAUAUUGCUGAAUUGCUCAUUAGUCCAAAUAGUUUUUCAUUUAUUUCUUGUGAUUUUCUGCAUACAGCGCCACGUCAUUUGCAAAUUGGGGCAGUUUUAUUUCUUCCCUGCCCAUUUGUAUGCUAUUGAUUUAUUUUAGAGACGGGGGUUUCACCAUGUUGGUCAGGCUGGACUCAAACUCCUGACCUCGUGAUCCACCCACCUUAGCCUCCCAAAGUGCUGGGAUUCAAAGCAACCACGCCCAGCCUACUUUUUAUUUUUUCAUCUUGCCUAAUAGUUGUAGCUGGAAUCCUCAUUACAGUACUGGAUCAAAAGUGGUGGGAGUGGACAUCCUUAUCUUCUUUUAAUAUCGGGGAAAUUUCUCAGUCUUUUACCAUUAAGUAGUGGUGGGCUUUUCAUAGCUGUCCUUUAUAAGGUUGAGGAAGUUACCUUCUAUUCCUAGUUUGUCAACUAUUUUUAUUAUGAUAGGGUGUUGCAUUUUGCCAAAUCAUUUUUUAGUCUAUUGAGAUAAUUAUGCUUCUUUUUUUUCCUGGCUGCUUGGAGUUUAUUUUCCACUUGGUGCCAGGUACACAGUUCCAGGUAUCAGGAAAGCUCACAAGUGCUAUGGCCAUGGGGAGAGGGGCUUUGUCACUCCUUUUUGGGGUUUGCUGUGUUAAUGGAAAGUCUGCUUGCUGCAUCCGCCUAGUCUACAGGGUGAGGAGUGGGGAGGGGACCGGGGAGGGGGUCUGGUGGCCUGGCGCCUCCGCAGACCUAGGGCUGGUGGUGGCGGCUCAGAUCAGGAUGGGGGUCCAGUGCUGGCUGUGCCGGACUGGCCACCGGGCUACUUCCUGAGAUGUCCCGAGCCAGGCCCCAGAUGGUCAUGUUGCUGGAGGCCUGGGGGGUUCCGGGUGCUCUGCUGGCCUCAACACCAUGGCUAUGAACAGCAGGGUGGACUUCCCGAAAAAAGAAGCUAGCCCACCAGACUGGGGUCAGCCUUGGGGAGACCCGGGGGGUGGGGGAUGGCUUCCCCAGGGAGCCUGGUACUGCCACGGGAGCUGUUGCUGGAACUGGAACCCAGGCGGCCUGGGCGGCCACCCUUCUCAAGCCUUGGCAUAUGAUCACAGGUGGUGAGGACAGGGGCGCUGGGCUACAGAGCAGAUCUGCAGAAGGGACCUCAGGAGGCCACUCCUCGACCAAGAUGUGGGGGCACGAGAGAUGAUUACGCAUUUGACCCUGCUUUAUUAAUAUGGUGUAUUAACAUUGACUAAUACGAAUUUUUGGAACCAGCCUUGCACUGCUAAAAUUAUCCCAUUUGGUCAUCAUGUAUUAUCAUUCUCUUUUCUUUCUUUUUCUUUUUUUGAGACAGACUCUCACUCUGUCCCCCAGGCUGGAGUGUGGUUGUGUGAUCAUAGCUCACUGCAGCCUUGACCUCCCCAGACUCAGGUGAUCUUCCCACCUCAGCCUCCCAGGUAGCUGGGACUACAGCAGUAUGCCACCACACCCAAUUGUUUUUUGUAUUUUUUGUAGAGAUGAGGUUUCACCACAUUUUUGUAUUUUUUGUAGAGAUGAGGUUUCACCACAUUACCCAGGCUGGUCUUGAACUCCUGGACUCAAGUGAUUUGCCUGCCUUGGCCUCCCAAAGUGCUGGAUUACAGGCAGGAGCCACCGCGCCCGGCUGGUGUAUCACCCUUUUUGUUGUCAUUGCUGCAUUCAGUGUGCAAGCAUUUGUUGAGGACUUUGUGCGUCUGUGUUCAUUAAAGAUAUUGGCCUGCUGUGUUCUUUUCUUGCAAUGUUUUUGGCUGGUUUUGAUAUCAAGGUAUUAACCUUAUAGAAUGGGUGGUUGGGAAGUGACACCUCCUCUCCCAUGUUUUAGAAGUUUGUGAAAGACUUAAUUCUGUUGUAAACUUGUAGUAGAAUUCACCAGUGAAUCAAUCAUGCCCCGAUCUUUUCUUUAUGGGGAUUCUGGCCUUUAAAAAAUAAAUUAAUAGCUCAAUCUAUACCUUGGUAUAGGUAUACUCAGAUUUUCUUUAUCUUUUUAAGUUUUGUAGGUUUGUGCCUUUCUAGAUAUUUCUUCAUUUCAUCUAGUUUACAUAGUUUGUUAGCAUACAAUUGUUCAUGGUAUUAUAAUAUUUUUAUAUUUUUGUAGGGUUGGUAUUAAUUUGAGUCUUCUUUUUCUAG
Molecule: long non-coding RNA, 9583 nt
Organism: Callithrix jacchus (white-tufted-ear marmoset)
Lineage: Eukaryota; Metazoa; Chordata; Mammalia; Primates; Cebidae
Source: RefSeq, a predicted model, not a curated record